CCUACGGGGGGCAGCAGUGGGGAAUAUUGCACAAUGGGCGCAAGCCUGAUGCAGCCAUGCCGCGUGUGUGAAGAAGGCCUUCGGGUUGUAAAGCACUUUCAGCGGGGAGGAAGGCGGUGAGGUUAAUAACCUCAUCGAUUGACGUUACCCGCAGAAGAAGCACCGGCUAACUCCGUGCCAGCAGCCGCGGUAAUACGGAGGGUGCAAGCGUUAAUCGGAAUUACCGGGCGUAAAGCGCACGCAGGCGGUCUGUCAAGUCGGAUGUGAAAUCCCCUGGCUCAACCUGGGAACUGCAUUCGAAACUGGCAGGCUAGAGUCUUGUAGAGGGGGGUAGAAUUCCAGGUGUAGCGGUGAAAUGCGUAGAGAUCUGGAGGAAUACCGGUGGCGAAGGCGGCCCCCUGGACAAAGACUGACGCUCAGGUGCGAAAGCGUGGGGAGCAAACAGGAUUAGAUACCCCGGUAGUC
Molecule: ribosomal RNA, 465 nt
Filed under: uncultured Klebsiella sp.
Lineage: Bacteria; Pseudomonadati; Pseudomonadota; Gammaproteobacteria; Enterobacterales; Enterobacteriaceae
Description: bacterial SSU rRNA
Rfam family: Bacterial small subunit ribosomal RNA
Source: RNAcentral